ACUGGAUUCAAUGGGGGUAGCCUGGAUGCGAUCUAACACCAUCACUGGAAAGCUAAAGGAGCCAAAUCAGAAUCCCUGGACUUCUCACAUCACCUAUGGUAGAGGUGCGCAUGUCCAACUGAGAAUCAGAGAACACAUCCAGAAUGAGAAGGCCAAUGUAGAUCUGAAGCAGGCUGAGACCCAGAAGGAGAAGACCUUCUCCCUAAAACACGGUAACGACAAUUGUGUAAGUCACCUCCAUCAUCCUCACUUCAUCUCCUGAAGAUUAGACUCAACCCUUAGGAGAAGGAGUGCAAAGAAAUAAAAGAAAAUCAGCUCUGAGCUAGCAUCCAUGCCCAUCCUCGUCUACUUUAUAUGUGGGACGCCUACCACAAUAUGGCUUGCCAAGCAGUGCCAUAUCCACAUCUGGGAUCCAAACUCGCAAACCCUAGGCCGCCGAAGUGGAAGAUGCGCACUUAACUGCUGCGCCACCGGGCCAGACCCCAUGUUGACCAUUUUUAAGCAUAUAGUUACGGGCAUUAAGUGCAUUCAUUUUGUUGUGCAACCAUCACCACUAUCCAUCACCAGAACUUUUUUCAUUUUCUAAAACUCAAGUUCUGUACCCAUUAAAUGCUAACUCCCUAUUCCUCACCUCACCCCUGCCACCACUGAUAAUUGAUAUUCUAUUUUCUGUCUCUAUGAAUUUGACAACUCUAGGUGCCUCAUACAAGGGGAAUCAUACAAUAUUUGUCUUUUUGUGUCUGGCUUAUUUUACUUAGUAUAAUGUCUCCAAGUUUCUUUCAUGUUGUAGCAUGGAUCAGAAUUUAAUGAUGUUUUAAGAUUAAAAAAUACUCCAUUGUGUAUAUAUACCACAUUUUGUCUAUCCACUCAUUCAUUGAUGGACCUUUGGGUUGUUUCCACUUUGUGGCUAUUGUGAAC
RNAcentral lists this long non-coding RNA (918 nucleotides) under Equus caballus (horse). RNAcentral describes it as "lncRNA (ENSECAG00000050763.1)". The record is from RNAcentral. Lineage: Eukaryota; Metazoa; Chordata; Mammalia; Perissodactyla; Equidae.